RNAcentral lists this transfer RNA (73 nucleotides) under Coleofasciculus sp. FACHB-1120. Its description in RNAcentral is "tRNA-Arg". It matches the Rfam family "tRNA". From Rfam's summary of the family: Transfer RNA (tRNA) molecules are approximately 80 nucleotides in length. Their secondary structure includes four short double-helical elements and three loops (D, anti-codon, and T loops). Further hydrogen bonds mediate the characteristic L-shaped molecular structure. tRNAs have two regions of fundamental functional importance: the anti-codon, which is responsible for specific mRNA codon recognition, and the 3' end, to which the tRNAs corresponding amino acid is attached (by aminoacyl-tRNA synthetases). tRNAs cope with the degeneracy of the genetic code in two manners: having more than one tRNA (with a specific anti-codon) for a particular amino acid; and 'wobble' base-pairing, i.e. permitting non-standard base-pairing at the 3rd anti-codon position. Lineage: Bacteria; Bacillati; Cyanobacteriota; Cyanophyceae; Coleofasciculales; Coleofasciculaceae. The record is from RNAcentral.
GCCCCCAUAGCUCAGUGAAUAGAGCAGCAUCCUUCUAAGAUGAAAGCCCCAGGUUUGAAUCCUGGUGGGGGCG